GAAACAGCCCAGACCACCAGCUAAGGUCCCAAAAUAUAUGUUAAGUGGAAAAGGAUGUGGCGUUGCCCAGACAACUAGGAUGUUGGCUUAGAAGCAGCCAUCAUUUAAAGAGUGCGUAAUAGCUCACUAGUCGAGUGACACUGCGCCGAAAAUGUACCGGGGCUAAACAUAUUACCGAAGCUGUGGAUUGUCCUUUGGACAAUGGUAGGAGAGCGUUCUAAGGGCGUUGAAGCAUGAUCGUAAGGACAUGUGGAGCGCUUAGAAGUGAGAAUGCCGGUGUGAGUAGCGAAAGACGGGUGAGAAUCCCGUCCACCGAUUGACUAAGGUUUCCAGAGGAAGGCUCGUCCGCUCUGGGUUAGUCGGGUCCUAAGCUGAGGCCGACAGGCGUAGGCGAUGGAUAACAGGUUGAUAUUCCUGUACCACCUAUAAUCGUUUUAAUCGAUGGGGGGACGCAGUAGGAUAGGCGAAGCGUGCGAUUGGAUUGCACGUCUAAGCAGUAAGGCUGAGUAUUAGGCAAAUCCGGUACUCGUUAAGGCUGAGC
This 541-nucleotide ribosomal RNA is filed under the name Staphylococcus aureus. RNAcentral's name for it is "partial 23S ribosomal RNA". It matches the Rfam family "Bacterial large subunit ribosomal RNA", at positions 1019 to 1561 of the family's 2925-position model. The record is from RNAcentral. Lineage: Bacteria; Bacillati; Bacillota; Bacilli; Caryophanales; Staphylococcaceae.